GAACUGAAGAGUUUGAUCCUGGCUCAGAUUGAACGCUGGCGGCAUGCCUUACACAUGCAAGUCGAACGGCAGCACGGACUC
RNAcentral lists this ribosomal RNA (81 nucleotides) under Paraburkholderia lebeckiae. Its description in RNAcentral is "partial 16S ribosomal RNA". It matches the Rfam family "Bacterial small subunit ribosomal RNA", at positions 1 to 81 of the family's 1533-position model. The record is from RNAcentral. Lineage: Bacteria; Pseudomonadati; Pseudomonadota; Betaproteobacteria; Burkholderiales; Burkholderiaceae.